CGUGUGACUGCGUACCUUUUGUAUAAUGGGUCAGCGACUUAUAUUCUGUAGCAAGGUUAACCGAAUAGGGGAGCCGAAGGGAAACCGAGUCUUAACUGGGCGUUAAGUUGCAGGGUAUAGACCCGAAACCCGGUGAUCUAGCCAUGGGCAGGUUGAAGGUUGGGUAACACUAACUGGAGGACCGAACCGACUAAUGUUGAAAAAUUAGCGGAUGACUUGUGGCUGGGGGUGAAAGGCCAAUCAAACCGGGAGAUAGCUGGUUCUCCCCGAAAGCUAUUUAGGUAGCGCCUCGUGAAUUCAUCUCCGGGGGUAGAGCACUGUUUCGGCAAGGGGGUCAUCCCGACUUACCAACCCGAUGCAAACUGCGAAUACCGGAGAAUGUUAUCACGGGAGACACACGGCGGGUGCUAACGUCCGUCGUGAAGAGGGAAACAACCCAGACCGCCAGCUAAGGUCCCAAAGUCAUGGUUAAGUGGGAAACGAUGUGGGAAGGCCCAGACAGCCAGGAUGUUGGCUUAGAAGCAGCCAUCAUUUAAAGAAAGCGUAAUAGCUCACUGGUCGAGUCGGCCUGCGCGGAAGAUGUAACGGGGCUAAACCAUG
RNAcentral lists this ribosomal RNA (600 nucleotides) under Escherichia coli. RNAcentral's name for it is "partial 23S ribosomal RNA". It matches the Rfam family "Bacterial large subunit ribosomal RNA", at positions 590 to 1191 of the family's 2925-position model. Lineage: Bacteria; Pseudomonadati; Pseudomonadota; Gammaproteobacteria; Enterobacterales; Enterobacteriaceae. The record is from RNAcentral.